UCCCCUGUGGCGCAAUGGCUAGCGCGUAAGACUGUUAAGCACACCCAUCACUUUGCCCUAUCUUGGUGUUUACAUAGAUCUUGAGGCUGAUGGUUCGAGCCCAUCCAGGGGAG
This 113-nucleotide transfer RNA is filed under the name Capronia epimyces CBS 606.96. It matches the Rfam family "tRNA". Rfam says of the family: Transfer RNA (tRNA) molecules are approximately 80 nucleotides in length. Their secondary structure includes four short double-helical elements and three loops (D, anti-codon, and T loops). The record is from Rfam by way of RNAcentral. Lineage: Eukaryota; Fungi; Ascomycota; Eurotiomycetes; Chaetothyriales; Herpotrichiellaceae.